Molecule: long non-coding RNA, 1301 nt
Organism: Lotus japonicus
Lineage: Eukaryota; Viridiplantae; Streptophyta; Magnoliopsida; Fabales; Fabaceae
Exons: 3
Source: RefSeq, a predicted model, not a curated record
UACAAUGUGUUCACAUUCAGGUGCUCCAUGUGAGCCUUUUCUUUCCUUUCCAAAUGAUGCAAGAGAUAUAUUUCACCUGGGCAUGUUCACAUUCAGCAUGCCUUUCUGUUUUCCCCCUUAAAUACUCUCCUCCAUUGAUAUCUCUUAAUUUAUUUUUCACGGUUUCUAUUCUGCAACCUGAAUACAAUCCUAAUGGAAAUUCAAGCAGCACCUGAUCUGGGUGCUUUCACUCUUAUAGCAAGGAGGUAGAAGAUUAAAGUAAAAGUAAAUUUUACACUUCUGGGUAUGUGGAUGUCUACCAAGCACACAAGCAAGCUAUUGUUAUAAUGAAUUUAUAGCACAAGCUUCGACUGGAAAUUGCCUCUAAGAUUGGAUGGAAAUCAUCCAGUGUUCAUGUCAUAACUCAUAAGAGAUGAAGAUCACAAGGUCAAUCUUUGGGCUAUUGGUAAACCUAAUGCUAUGCUGGGAGCAAGUGAAUUGGCUCGAUGUAGCAACAAGUGCCCCUAGCCUAUGAUGUGCAGUUAUCAAUUAAUACCAUUGAGGCGUCCAUAGAUCAGGGAGAUCUAACUAUGAGGUAUUUGAAGAUGAACCAGUUGUCACUACGGGAGUGAGAAAGAUGAUGAUACUUUACUUACUAGGUUUAAUCAGUUUGUUAAUUUUAUUUACAUUUAUGAGGAAUGUUUCGGUAGAUAAUUCUGGACAUAAUCUAACCUUAUGGAAUCUUCAGGCAGAUAGAAUUUUAUAAUACACUUAUUUAUUGCCUUUCAAUUUUCAAAAAGUUGUUUUCAUGAAUAUUAUUGUUGUAAUGCUUCCAACUAGAAAAGUAAACUGUUGGAAAUUUCAUGUGAAGUGCAGAAACGAUCAAAAUUUUGAGUUUUGCAACACUGGACUGUCCAUCCUGGUUUCUGGACCAAAUGGGAUGUUAGAACAAGUACUGAAAUGUUGAAAAUUAGGCUGUUAUCGCGUCUGGUUUAUAUGUAAGUGUCGAUAUUGAAGGUUUUGUGUGGAUGUAGGUGUUGCUAACAACAACGUCUACAGGGCUGGAUUUCUGUUUGAGAGGCAGUCAACUCUUCUUUUAUCUUUCCGCAAGAAAUCAAUUUUCUCCCUUUUAUUAUUUCUUUUGUUCUUUCUUUGAUAUUUUCUUACUGUUCUGAUUAUUCUAUUGUGGAUUUGAUAUUUUCUUUAGUUUUUGUAGAUUGUGAAGUCCCUUUACAAUUUGAACUGGUAUGAUAUUCUUUUCAAUUGUUGGAUAUGUUCCUUUAAAUCUGUUCAUGUUACAUAAUGCAUUGGGGUUGAUGGAU